AAGCAAGAAGCAAUUAAUUGCGUUCUAAUUUCGACCUAGAAAUAUGGCUAAAUAGCCCUUACUUA
Molecule: transfer RNA, 65 nt
Filed under: Cryptocephalus androgyne
Lineage: Eukaryota; Metazoa; Arthropoda; Insecta; Coleoptera; Chrysomelidae
Description: tRNA-Arg
Source: RNAcentral